This 1133-nucleotide long non-coding RNA is filed under the name Myripristis murdjan (pinecone soldierfish). RNAcentral describes it as "lncRNA (ENSMMDG00005015148.1)". The record is from RNAcentral. Lineage: Eukaryota; Metazoa; Chordata; Actinopteri; Holocentriformes; Holocentridae.
UUUUCUAGGGAGCGUAGGGAGGCAGAGUUGUGUGAAGCGUACAGGAAGGCAGAGACUCCAGAGGAAGCAGCCAUGGUUUUACAGCGCUACGCUCUUCGCUUCACCAUCAGUGACGCAACCUUGGACAGCCUGAAACUGCCUAGAUCCACCCCCAAACCCAAAGUGGAGCAAACUCAGGUGCUCCAAGAGCACAAACCCACUCAAUCCACUGUUGACUCUGAGACCUCAGACCUUCUGCACAAACCAGAACCAACCAUCACAAUGGACCAGCAGCACAAACCUGAAGAGAUCGGUGGAAAUGCACAAGAGAGAUCAGCUUCCUUUUCCUCCAGCACCCCAGCACUUAACAAUCCCCCUGACACCACCAUCACACACUCACAACACACACCACCUCAAUACCAAGAACCCAAUGAACCUCAAACCCAACACAAAGAGUCUCCAACUACAAACCAACCACCGCUUUCAAAAGAUACACCCCCUCAAGCCAAAGAAGCACCGCCUCAAACUGCACAAACACCGCCUCACUCUGUGGAGCCUGUGCACACACAGCCCUGCACCACUGCACCCUCCAGACCCGUCCCGCUGCUCACAGCCAAGCCCUACUGUCAGCCCAGGAACACACACUCGGGACACAAAUCUGUCAAGCUGGAUGGGCUGGUGCGUGUUAACGGGGAGGUGACAGAGGAGACGCCCGUGUCCCCAUGUCCCUCUUCUCCUCUGCGCCUCCCAGAGGGCGACAUAGAUGCUCCCUCUGAGCUGCUAACGACAACAAGUCAGACAACAGCGGAGCAGUCACCACGCCCGCACACGGAGAAAGGGACCGCAUCGUCAGGCUCGGCCAUCAGCUCCCUGAUCGGAGGCCGAAACUGCAUCAUCACAACAACGAUUGUGACAGAGCUCACGCAGACUCACGUGGAGCCACUCCCCUUGGAGAUCCAUAGCAACGGACAGGUCAAUGGCACCUUGGGGUUGUUAAGGAGCCCAGCGGAGGAGACAGAGGCUGUGACAGUGACAUCGCCCAACAACAUCCUGGCGUAUUCUCCCACCGUCACAGGUAACUUUACUCUGAAUACCUCUCUUUUCAAUUUGUUCCCUGAUAUCUGCAUUUUGUCCAUAUAAAUGUUCAGAUGUGA